UCCUGCUGCGUCUGGAGCUCGGCGUCUCCCCGAGCCGCCCGGCUCCGCGCCUCCCACCUCCUCCCUCCGCCCAGCGCUCCCCCACCCCUCCACCCCCGCCCUCUGCUUGCUGCGGCCUCGCCGGUGACGAGCUACUGUAAGUGUGACUUGCUUAAACGAAGUCGCACACCCACGGAGGGAAGUAAUCUGCAGGCUGCCGUGGACUCACUGAGCUCUGCCUGGUGUUAGUCUGUGGUAGUCUGCAUCUGCUCCCGUCAGUUGCUGGAUGAAGUCUCUCUGCUCCCCUUGAUGAUGAAUCUGCUGGACUCCAGGCUCAGCACACUCUACACUCUGCCUGCAGAAGGUUUGUAAAGAGUUAUGUUGGGGGAGAUCCAAGAUGGUGGGAACCAGCAUGCACCACAUCUGAGGGGCAGAAGAUCUGAAACUUCGAAAUUG
Molecule: long non-coding RNA, 435 nt
Organism: Meriones unguiculatus (Mongolian gerbil)
Lineage: Eukaryota; Metazoa; Chordata; Mammalia; Rodentia; Muridae
Exons: 3
Source: RefSeq, a predicted model, not a curated record